Molecule: long non-coding RNA, 549 nt
Organism: Pollicipes pollicipes
Lineage: Eukaryota; Metazoa; Arthropoda; Thecostraca; Pollicipedomorpha; Pollicipedidae
Exons: 4
Source: RefSeq, a predicted model, not a curated record
UUUGUGUGCUGUUGGUCCGUGGGGGUUUCUCAUUUGAUGGCAGCUGUCAUGAGCCAUGGUCGAUAAACGAUGAUAGAUUUCAUGCUUUUUUGCUUUCUCUUUUGGUAACCUCUUCGAGGCUGUGUGAAGUAUGGCAGGGUUGUUACUUUGUUGUGUAAUUUCUUUCUUGGUGAGCGAUACAGUUGUCUUGGGGGCAUCUCCAGGAAUCUCAAACAACAAGGUCAUCUUGGAAAAUGAGGAUGUGAGCAGACAAGAAACUGAGUCAUUUACAUAUAUUUCACCUGCCAGACCACAAGGGGCACACUUGGCAGAUAAUUUUGAUGACCCAUGGUUGUUUGAGAGAACUUGGGUUAGCUCUGAGGCAAAGAAGAAUGAACAUGGAGCAGAAAGUAUUGAGUACAGUGGUCGGUGGGCGCUGGAGCCGGCGCGGGACCGGGCCCAGUCAGCGGAUCUCGGCCUGGAGCUGGGCUCGCCGGCGCACCAGGCCGCCGUCAGCCGCCGGCUGGAGGCGCCGCUCCGGCUAGCCGGCCGGCCGCUGGUGCUGCAGUA